GGGGAUAAUAUAACAAUGCUGCCAAGUUUUGGAAGCUUUAAUCAUGGUUACCAAAAUAACCAGACUCGUAACUUGAUUGUGUUGAGCAAUUUAGAAAUUAGGCAUUUCCUCUCUGUUUCCAAAUUAACAGACAAUUUUCAUCCUUUAUUGUGGAACUGGUAUACUGUAGAUAAUCGUCAUAAUUUGACAAUUGCUGGGUUUAAUGCCAAAAAGAUUCCAAUUAUAUCGAAUAAAAUUAUAGCAUGAAAUAUGGGAAAAUGAGAUGAUGGUAAA
RNAcentral lists this long non-coding RNA (273 nucleotides) under Mytilus galloprovincialis (Mediterranean mussel). Lineage: Eukaryota; Metazoa; Mollusca; Bivalvia; Mytilida; Mytilidae. The record is from RNAcentral.